AAGAAAGUGACAGAGAGGCUAUGUGUCCGACUUGAAAUCGGAAUAUGGGGGUUCGAUUCCUUCCUUUCUCG
Molecule: transfer RNA, 71 nt
Filed under: Chalcorana labialis
Lineage: Eukaryota; Metazoa; Chordata; Amphibia; Anura; Ranidae
Description: tRNA-Ser
Rfam family: tRNA
About the family: Transfer RNA (tRNA) molecules are approximately 80 nucleotides in length.
Source: RNAcentral